This 76-nucleotide transfer RNA is filed under the name Bacillota bacterium. Its description in RNAcentral is "tRNA-Thr". It matches the Rfam family "tRNA". Rfam says of the family: Transfer RNA (tRNA) molecules are approximately 80 nucleotides in length. Their secondary structure includes four short double-helical elements and three loops (D, anti-codon, and T loops). Further hydrogen bonds mediate the characteristic L-shaped molecular structure. tRNAs have two regions of fundamental functional importance: the anti-codon, which is responsible for specific mRNA codon recognition, and the 3' end, to which the tRNAs corresponding amino acid is attached (by aminoacyl-tRNA synthetases). tRNAs cope with the degeneracy of the genetic code in two manners: having more than one tRNA (with a specific anti-codon) for a particular amino acid; and 'wobble' base-pairing, i.e. permitting non-standard base-pairing at the 3rd anti-codon position. The record is from RNAcentral. Lineage: Bacteria; Bacillati; Bacillota. RNAcentral also lists the same sequence under 2 other names.
GCUAACGUAGCUCAAUUGGUAGAGCAGCUGACUUGUAAUCAGCAGGUUACCGGUUCAAGUCCGGUCGUUAGCUCCA